GCUUACGGCCAUACCACCCUGAAAACAUCCGAUCUCGGAAGCUGAGCAGUGUGGGGCCUGGUUAGUACUUGGAUGGAGACCGCCUGGGAAUAGCAGGUGCUGUAAGCU
RNAcentral lists this ribosomal RNA (108 nucleotides) under Monopterus albus (swamp eel). The record is from RNAcentral. Lineage: Eukaryota; Metazoa; Chordata; Actinopteri; Synbranchiformes; Synbranchidae.